Long non-coding RNA from Homo sapiens (human), 973 nucleotides. RefSeq lists it as uncharacterized. NCBI's taxonomy places the organism in Eukaryota, Metazoa, Chordata, Mammalia, Primates, Hominidae. The record is from RefSeq and is a predicted model, not a curated record. The transcript is spliced from 3 exons.
GAACUCCUGACCUCAAGUCAUCUGCCUGCCUCAGCCUCUCAAAGCACUGGGAUUACAGGCAUGAGCCGUCGCACCCCACCUUGAUAAUUCCUCUUGAAGCGCUACUGGCUACACUCCUGUCAGAUGUCUUCUGAUGUACCUGUGCAAGAAUUUCUCCUGGGUAUAUAUCCAAGAGUCGAAUAUCUGGGGUGUAAAUAGUCCCAUCAUGGUGAUGUCAAGCCCCAAACAUGAUGUCAUGAUGAGCCACCUAAGAAGGUUCAAAGAAAAAGGAGAAGAGAGUCUGGAAUUGAGUUUUGAACACUCCAACAUUUCCAGGCUUGGCAGAAGAGAAGUCAGCAAAGGAGACAGAAGGUGCUGCCAGAGGAGGAAGAGGAGAAUCAGCAGAGUGUGCUGUCCAAAGUGCCAGGGAAGAGGGUUUCAGGCGGAGGAGGAAGUGUCAAGAAAGUUGAACGUUUCUGAGAGAUUGGUAGAUUAGCUCCCAGGGCAGUCCCGCAGCACGAGGUCACCUGUAAUCCUCCCGGAUCAGACACGGUGCCAACCCAGGUGCACCCACAACCCUUGCAUGGCAGCAUCUGUCAUCCUGGUCACUCAACUGCCUUCUGUCCUUCUGGUAAGAACAUCCCGCCCCUGUGGAAAACAGCCUGUCCUUCCUCCAGGCAGGUGGCUCCAAUCUCAAUCAUGGCACCUCGAGAAACUACGGGUGAUCAUGGCCAAGCUCAGCCAAGGCAGAGCCAUUCUUCAGGAUUUAUAAGUGCAGUGCUCCACCGAAACAGGGAAACACUGCUCUCUUUUCCUCUGAUACCAUUAAACUGACAUGACAUCAGACUGAAGUGGCCUUUGGCAAUGGAAAAAGCCUGUCUGAAGUAGAAGCCGAAAUGAGAAAGGAAAACCUGGAUGUGUCCCUCCAUCUGGGUCUACUCUUGUUUUCUCCAGCUCUGAACCAAUAAACAGCACUGGCAUUUUGAACACUUUA